GAAGUCAGUCAGACAAUCGCCGCGCCCGCAAGGGCGGGGAGGAAAGUCCGGGCUCCGCAGAGCAGGAUGCCGGCUAACGGCCGGGCGCCGCGAGGCGACGGAAAGUGGAACAGAGAGCUGAACCGCCGAUGGCUUUGGCAACAGGGCACAGGCAAGGGUGAAAAGGUGUACCGGGAGGCGCAAGCCGGCCUGGACGGGCGGGGCAACCCGCUUGCGGUAAGAGCGCACCGCGGACGUGGCAACACGGACGGCAGGCUAAACCCCAUCCGGAGCAAGACCAAAUAGGGGGGCGCUAACGUGGCUCGCGUUGUCCCCGGGUAGGUUGCUUGAGCCUGUCGGCAACGGCAGGCCUAGAGGAAUGAUUGUCCAACGACAGAACCCGGCUUAUCGACUGACUUCCCCC
RNAcentral lists this RNase P RNA (403 nucleotides) under Chromobacterium paludis. RNAcentral describes it as "Chromobacterium sp. 257-1 RNase P RNA component class A". It matches the Rfam family "Bacterial RNase P class A". Rfam says of the family: Ribonuclease P (RNase P) is a ubiquitous endoribonuclease, found in archaea, bacteria and eukarya as well as chloroplasts and mitochondria. Its best characterised activity is the generation of mature 5'-ends of tRNAs by cleaving the 5'-leader elements of precursor-tRNAs. Lineage: Bacteria; Pseudomonadati; Pseudomonadota; Betaproteobacteria; Neisseriales; Chromobacteriaceae. The record is from RNAcentral.